Non-coding RNA from Triticum aestivum (bread wheat), 125 nucleotides. The record is from Rfam. Lineage: Eukaryota; Viridiplantae; Streptophyta; Magnoliopsida; Poales; Poaceae.
UAUGUACUCCCUCCGUCCGAAAAUACUCGUCGGUGAAAUGGAUGUAUCUAGACGCAUUUUAGUUCUAGAUACAUCAAUUUUUAUCAAUUUCCCCGACAAGUAUUUCCAAACAGAGGUAGUAAUUU